Non-coding RNA from Chelonoidis abingdonii (Abingdon island giant tortoise), 127 nucleotides. Lineage: Eukaryota; Metazoa; Chordata; Testudines; Testudinidae. The record is from RefSeq and is a predicted model, not a curated record.
UGCUGCUACUUCAUGUAAGUAUUCUGUUGUGUGAGCAUUUCCUGAUGUAUUGAUUGUUUCUGUAAGGAAGACAUUCCCUUCUUCUGUUGUCACACAAGCAGGUAAAACAGGAUCAUUGUGGACAUUG